Molecule: transfer RNA, 75 nt
Filed under: Caudoviricetes sp.
Lineage: Duplodnaviria; Heunggongvirae; Uroviricota; Caudoviricetes
Description: tRNA-Glu
Rfam family: tRNA
About the family: Transfer RNA (tRNA) molecules are approximately 80 nucleotides in length. Their secondary structure includes four short double-helical elements and three loops (D, anti-codon, and T loops). Further hydrogen bonds mediate the characteristic L-shaped molecular structure. tRNAs have two regions of fundamental functional importance: the anti-codon, which is responsible for specific mRNA codon recognition, and the 3' end, to which the tRNAs corresponding amino acid is attached (by aminoacyl-tRNA synthetases). tRNAs cope with the degeneracy of the genetic code in two manners: having more than one tRNA (with a specific anti-codon) for a particular amino acid; and 'wobble' base-pairing, i.e. permitting non-standard base-pairing at the 3rd anti-codon position.
Source: RNAcentral
GGCCUUGUCGACGAAAUGGCAAAGUCGCCACCCUCUCAAGGUGGAGGUUGAUGGGUUCGAAUCCCUCCAAGGUCA